RNAcentral lists this ribosomal RNA (254 nucleotides) under uncultured bacterium. RNAcentral's name for it is "partial 16S ribosomal RNA". It matches the Rfam family "Bacterial small subunit ribosomal RNA", at positions 524 to 776 of the family's 1533-position model. The record is from RNAcentral.
UACAGAGGGUGCGAGCGUUGUCCGGAAUCACUGGGCGUAAAGGGCGCGUAGGCGGUCUGUCGCGUCGGUCGUGAAAACUUGGGGCUUAACCCUGAGCUUGCGGUCGAUACGGGCAUGACUGGAGUUCGGCAGGGGAGACUGGAAUUCCUGGUGUAGCGGUGAAAUGCGCAGAUAUCAGGAGGAACACCGGUGGCGAAGGCGGGUCUCUGGGCCGAUACUGACGCUGAGGAGCGAAAGCGUGGGGAGCGAACAGG